AUUCAGCACUCCGUCCUCGUGACCUAAUCAUAUCCCAAAGCCCCACUCCUAAUACCGUCACCUGCGGUAAGAUUCCAACAUGUGAGUUUUAGGGAGGACAGACAUUCAGAGCCUCGCAGUUCCUUCUUCUUGACUUUGGGGAUCACCAAACUCAUCAUCUCACGCCACAACAGAACACUGAAGCCCUCCUGGGACUCAAAAUGGUUCACCCAGGAAAAAACCAAGGUUGAGCCUCAGUCCCUCUGAAUCAACCCAUCCCCUGGUACCUGUCACUGAGGCCGCCUGGGCUUCUGCAGACACCUUGGGAACCUUCUUCUAUCUUCUUCUGACAGCAUUCCAGAGAAAAAUGUGUUGUUAAUUAAAGACAUGAGGAUGUAGCUCAAAGAAUUAACAGUAGGGCCUUGAAAGGUAUUUGUACAUCAAUAUUCAUAGCAGCCUUAACUGCAAUAGCCAAAAAGUGACAGCAACCCAAGUGUCCAUUGACAGAAGAAUGCAUAAGCAAAAUGUGGUCUAUCCAUACAGCGGAAUAUCACUCAGCCUUAAAAAGGAAGAAAAUUCUGACACUUGCUACAACACAGAUGAACCUUGAGGACAUUCUGCUGAGUGAAAUAAGCUAGACACAGAAGGACAGAUAGUGUACGAUCCACUUCUGUGAGGGACCUGCGGUAGUCCAAGUCAGAGAGAGAGAAAGCAGAAUGGUGGUUUUCAGGGGCCAUAGGGACAGAAGAAAAAUGGGAAGAUACUGUUUAAUUGUUGAAAAAUUAUGCUUGGGAAAGUAGGAAAGUUCUAGAGAUGGAUGGUGGUGAUGAUUGCACAAUAUGUGAAUAUGCUUAGUGCUGCUCCCCUGUAGAUUUAAAAAUGGUUAAGAUGGCACUGUGGUAGUGUCCCCCAAAGGAUGGUGUCCCCGAAAGGUCCAUGUGUUAAAGGUUUGGUUAAAGGUGGCAGUGUUGAGAAAUGCUGUGGAUCUUUAAGAGGUGGGGCUUAGUGGGAGAUCCUAGGUCAUUGGGGGUGUGCCCUCAGAGGGGAUAGCAGAACUCCAGUCCCCCAGUCUCUCUCUGCUCCCUGACUCAAGAUGUAAGCAGUUUACUCUCAUGCAGGCUUCCACCGUGAUGUGCUGAGUAACAACGGGGCCACUCAAUCUCAGACUAGCACCUCCAGAACCAUGAGCUAAAUAGACUUUUCUCUUUAUAAGUUAAUUACUUCAAGCAUUUCACUACAGUCAUGGAAAACUGACUGAUACAAAUGGUGAAUUUUGUUAAAUGUAUUUUAACACAAUUAAAUUUUUAAAAUCCAAGCAAGUGGUUUAGUAUAAAGAACGUGGCGGGUGGGCAUGGUGUCACUCAGCCAUAGAGCAGUUGUCUAGCAAGUAUGAGGCUCCAGGAUUGACCUCCAGCACUGCCA
RNAcentral lists this long non-coding RNA (1401 nucleotides) under Marmota monax (woodchuck). The record is from RNAcentral. Lineage: Eukaryota; Metazoa; Chordata; Mammalia; Rodentia; Sciuridae.